Molecule: ribosomal RNA, 467 nt
Filed under: uncultured bacterium
Lineage: Bacteria
Description: partial 16S ribosomal RNA
Rfam family: Bacterial small subunit ribosomal RNA
Source: RNAcentral
GAUGAACGCUGACUGAAUGCUUAACACAUGCAAGUCAACUUGAAUUUGGGUUUUUAACUUCGGUUUGGGUGGCGGACGGGUGAGUAACGCGUAAAGAACUUGCCUCACAGCUAGGGACAACAUUUGGAAACGAAUGCUAAUACCUAAUAUUAUGAUAAUAGGGCAUCCUAUAAUUAUGAAAGCUAUAAGCGCUGUGAGAGAGCUUUGCGUCCCAUUAGCUAGUUGGAGAGGUAACGGCUCACCAAGGCGAUGAUGGGUAGCCGGCCUGAGAGGGUGAUCGGCCACAAGGGGACUGAGACACGGCCCUUACUCCUACGGGAGGCAGCAGUGGGGAAUAUUGGACAAUGGACCGAGAGUCUGAUCCAGCAAUUCUGUGUGCACGAUGAAGUUUUUCGGAAUGUAAAGUGCUUUCAGUUGGGAAGAAACAAAUGACGGUACCAACAGAAGAAGCGACGGCUAAAUACGUG